Molecule: non-coding RNA, 393 nt
Organism: Vicugna pacos (alpaca)
Lineage: Eukaryota; Metazoa; Chordata; Mammalia; Artiodactyla; Camelidae
Source: RefSeq, a predicted model, not a curated record
GAGAAACGCUAUGGACUUGGCUGAUGGGGGAAGAGCAUGCAGUCGCUCCCUGCCCCCGCGUGUACCUUCUGGGGAGGAAAGUGUGGAAGAGAGAGGUGUCCCUGUGCAAGAUGACUGGUCGAUGGCUCCCGACGACGACAAGGGGAGGCACAGACUUCAGUCAGCACAUCCUGCCCGAGGCCGAGCAUCUGCUGGAGCUGCACAAAGACCGCAGCUCAGGUGACACAGGUCACCCAGCAGCUGUGACACGGGGAUACCCCAGGUUUCCCCAGGAUUACAAACAGCUUUCCUUCUGAAGGAAAAGAACACAAAACCAGCAGAGGCCCCGCUGCCGGCUGGGCUUCUCCACCUGGAUGGCAGGAAACUUGGAAAAUACAAAGAAGUGGAAAGAAG